This 48-nucleotide ribosomal RNA is filed under the name Chamaedrilus lapponicus. Its description in RNAcentral is "partial 28S ribosomal RNA". The record is from RNAcentral. Lineage: Eukaryota; Metazoa; Annelida; Clitellata; Enchytraeida; Enchytraeidae.
UACACUGACUUCGACCUGAGAUCAGACGAGAUUACUCGCUGAAUUUAA